AAAUCCGGAGAUUAAUUGCAAUCUAAUUGCGCAGCGGAAAAAUAAAAUUUUGGAUUUCCUUUCCCAGAAUCCGAGUGCUCCGUUUAAAUCAUAAGAAAGAUGUGAGACUAACCUGUUAAUCUCGUAGUGAAGAUACACUGGCGGACUGAUGGUGCUGCCUUUUCAAACGAACACCCUCUAUGGUAUCCACACGAACGUCUUCUAUCCUUCUAGAGUGCUAGCUCUUUUCAAGAUGGAUAGAUUAUGUACUCUAUGUUCUACAAUCUUUUAGACUGAGUUUUCUCAAAACUUUUUCAACCACCUACUCAAUCUGUAGAAGGAGUAUUUAUAGGCCUCAGUCUUUUUAUUUUCCCACAACUCUUUUCCUAAAAGAGUUGUGCUUAGAACCCACUAUCACAAUCUCACAGAUACUCAAAUAUCUUUAUGUGAUAGANNNN
This 437-nucleotide long non-coding RNA is filed under the name Manihot esculenta (cassava). Its description in RNAcentral is "long non-coding RNA (MESC_LNC003572)". The record is from RNAcentral. Lineage: Eukaryota; Viridiplantae; Streptophyta; Magnoliopsida; Malpighiales; Euphorbiaceae.